Long non-coding RNA from Oncorhynchus keta (chum salmon), 6173 nucleotides. RefSeq lists it as uncharacterized. The transcript is spliced from 4 exons. NCBI's taxonomy places the organism in Eukaryota, Metazoa, Chordata, Actinopteri, Salmoniformes, Salmonidae. The record is from RefSeq and is a predicted model, not a curated record.
UGAAAGCAACAUCGGCGAGUCGGCACACUCAUGGGGGAAAUUGUUUUGCAUGGCAGUAUGCGACGACAUGCAGAGUUGAUCCAAUCCUCACCAGUUUGGGCAAAUCCAAGGGUCCUAACGUGUAAACCCCACCCAUCGGCAGCCUGUUCACGUUACUUGCCAACCCAGAACAGCCAUCCACUCAGCAGCACUUUGCCUAAGUAUGUCCGAAAUCGCACAAUUUUUUUAUUUAUUUUUAUUUAACCUUUAUUUAACCAGGUAGGCUAGUUGAGAACAAGUUCUCAUUUACAACUGCGACCUGGCCAAGAUAAAGCGUAGCAAUUCGACAAAUACAACAACACAGAGUAACACAAUCAUGUCCGACAUCGCUUUACCAUUUACCGCUACUUACUGAUGAGUAUCAACGUCCUUGGCUGUAUCUAUAGUAAAUGUUGUCUUUUCUCGGAAUGAAGAAUUCAUCCUACCGGAUGAAAUGUCUUAUAUUUACCAAAAGUUCAGGAAAUACUAGCCUUCAAGAUCUCGCGGUUGAAUUUUAAAAAACAAAUUGAGAAAGCAUGUACAUCAUCUAAAGAAGUAUGGAGAACUGACAGCAAACACACUGAAGAGAAAACAUGCCCCUAAAACUCCCUCCACCAUCAAGCAGAGCACGUUACUGAAGACAGUCUCAAAAAUCCAUUGACAAAGCUGUGGUGAAGUAUGUGGUUCAAGGGCUCCAACCAUUCGCUGUUGUAGAACAAGAACCGUUUACAGAGUUUGUCCAGGAUCUGCAGCUUAACUCAAAAGAUCUUAUCAAGGCCCACACUGCGCUCCAGGAUUGAUGAAGUCUCCAAGAAAAUUAAGAAGAAGGUGACUGAGGCCAUGAGAGGAAUUGACCACAUCGCCACCACCACCGACUGCUGGUCUGCAAGAAGACCGAGCUUCAUUGGUGUUAUAUCCCACUGGAUAGACCCUGACAGUCUCAACAGAUGCUCUGCAGCCCUGCCUGUAAACAGUUGAGAGGAUCGCACACCUUUGUGUUGGCAGGCGCCCUAAAUGACAUCUAUUCUGAGUUUGAAAUCCAGGUUAAGAUUGUGUGAACAACAACAGACAACGGCUCUAACUUGAAAGCUUUCCAAGUUUUUGGAGAAGGUGAAAACAACGAGACACUGGAAGCAGCUCAGCCAAGACAGGAAGAUGGGGAAGAGGAACAAGAGGAGAGUGAAGAAGUGGAGUUUGUUGAUGUGGCAACGAUCCUGAAUGAAGAUGAUGGUUUUGAGUACCAGCUGCAGAAGCACCAGCGCUGUGCUUACCACCUACUCAACUCAGUAUCUACAGUCGAUGCCCUGAAAGCAACAUCCAGUGAGUCUUACAAAAAAGUGUCCCAUUUAACAUUUGGCAAGUGCCAAGCACAUUGGAACAAAUGUGGAAGAUACACACUUGCAGCCAAAACGGUUGAAGAUGCUUGCGACAUCCAGCUGCUGCACCCAAAUGCUACGAGGCGGAACUCCUGGUUCAUGGCUGUAGAAAGACUCCUGAUGAUCGACAAAGGAGAGGCGGCCAUCAGAGUUCCCUGCACAGACUUCGAGGUUCCAAUGUUCAAUCCAGCUGCACUCAUCCUUCCUCACAGAGUAUGCUUCUACCAUGAGCCCAGUUGCAAAUGCCAUCAACAUCCUGCAGGCUGAAAUCAAUGUCCAGAUGUGGUGGCUACUUCCUACUAUUAACCUGCUGAUCACAAAAAUUGACUGAAUCAAGUUGUCUCUGAAGUACUGUAAGCCUCUGGUGGAUGUGCUACAACUGGGACUGAAGAAGCGCUUCAGCCACAUAUUUCACGACACUGAGCUGAUCGAAUCAAAUCCAAUUUAUUUAUAUAGCCCUUUGUACAUCAGCUGAAAUGUCAAAGUGCUGUACAGAAACCCAGCCUAAAACCCCAAACAGCAAGCAAUGCAGGUGUAGAAGCAUGGUGGCUAGGAAGAACUCCCUAGAAAGGCCAAAACCUAGGAAGAAACCUAGAGAGGAACCAGGCUAUGAGGGGUGGCCAGUCCUCUUCUGGCUGUGCCGGGUGGAGAUUAUAACAGAACAUGGCCAAGACGUUCAAAUGUUCAUAAAUGACCAGCAUGGUCAAAUAAUAAUAAUCACAGUAGUUGUCGAGGGUGCAGCAAGUCAGCACCUCAGGAGUAAAUGUCAGUUGGCUUUUCAUAGCCGAUCAUUAAGAGUAUCUCUACCACUCCUGCUAUCUCUAGAGAGUUGAAAACAGCAGGUCUAGGACAGGUAGCAUGUCCGGUGAACAGGUUAGGAUUCCAUAGCCGCAGGCAGAACAGUUGAAACUGGAGCAGCAGCACGGCCAGGUGGACUGGGGACAGCAAGGAGUCAUCAUGCCAUUGUAGUCCUGAGGCAUGGUCCUAGGGCUCAGGUCCUCCGAGAGAGAGAAUUAGAGAGAGCAUACUUAAAUUCACAGAGGACACCGGAUAAGACAGAAGAAGUACUCAAGAUAUAACAAACUGACCCUAGCCCCCCGACACAUAAACUACUGCAGCAUAAAUACUGGAGGCUGAGACAGGAGGGGUCCGGAGACACUGUGGCCCCUCCGAUGAUUCCCCCGGACAGGGCUAGAGGGAUAUCUUCAACCACCAACUUACCAUCCUGAGACCAGGCUGAGUAUAGCCCACAAAGAUCUCCGCCACGGCACAACCCAAGGGGGGGGGGCGCCAACCCAGACAGGAAGAUCAUGUCAGUGACUCAACCCAGCUGAUCACAGCUGCAAUCCUUAUCCCCAAAUUCAAAACAACGUGGAUGAAGGAUGACGCCACCAUCAGAAUGGGAAUGGACGACAUCAAGGACCACCUGGAAGAACCCUUGCUGCAGCUAGGCGAUGGCACCAGUUCAUCACCAGUUCUUCUUCCCUCCUGAGUGGCGCAGCGGUCUAAGGCACUGCAUCUCGGUGCUAGAAGUGUCACUACAGACCCUGGUUCGAUUCCAGGCUGUAUCACAACCGGCAGUGAUUGAUCGUCCGGGUUAGGGUUUGGUCGGGGUAGCCGUCAUUGUAAAUAAGAAUUUGUUCUUAACGGACUUGCCUAGUUAAAUAAAAUAAAUGAAGACGUCUCAAGCACAAGAAAGCUCCAAACAGCUGGACGGAUACUUGGCCUGUUCAACUGAUCAUAUGGAGUUGCUCAAGUCCUUCCCGGCAGUCUGUAAGCUGUCUCUGAGGCUCAACACACCCUUACCUGCAUCAACUGGCUUUGAAAGGCUGUUCAGCAUUGCAGGACUUGUUUUCAGCCCCAGGAGAGCAAGGGUAGAUUCCAUAAACUUUGAAAACCAGCUUUUACUGAAGAUGAACCAUAAAUCCUUCAACUUCAAAUAAUGACAGCUUAAUGCUAGCAAGUACACGGAUGCCUUAUGCGUUUUGUUCAUUUAUUUAAAAAUUCACCAGUUAUAGAUGUCCUUGUUACAAAGGCAUGACCUGACACACUGAUUUCUAAUACAGUUCCAUCAGUGGUUAUGUCCUUAUUGCUAAUAGUGAGGUUGUGUGUAGUUCUGUACAUGUACUUUUUUAUUUUAUGUAUAGGGUCUAUUAUAGCAUGUUUUUUCUAAAGCAAAGUGACUGUGAUUGUAAGCUUAUGUUUACUGGCUAUAUUCCUUCAUUAAGGCAUCAUUCUAUUUUGUCUGUAAGAUAUAUUUUGAAGUGUUGCCUAUUUGAGAAUCCUCAUAAUUAAAAAAAAUCUGAGCUCUUCUUGCAUCCGAAAAGCUCAAACCAAAUAAGGUCUGGCUGUUUUGCUUUACGGCUGUUACGUUUCAUUCUUUAACUUUUUAUACUUAAAGUAACUGAUAUUAAAUAUACUUGAGACUGUUACUCAAGUAGUAUUCUAAUGGGUGACUUUUACCUGAGUAAUUUUCAAGUAAGGUGUCUUUACUUUUUCGGUGUAAAGCUCAUUCCUUCAACGAUAAACGUGAAUCCGACCAUCACCCCUGGUGAAACAAAACCAUGACUCGUCAGUGAAGAGCAUUUUUUGCCAGUCCUGUCUGGUCCAGCGAUGGUGGGUUUGUGCCCAUAGGUGACGUUGUUGCCGGUGAUGUCUGGUGAGGACCUGCCUUACAACAGGCCUACAAGCCCUCAGUCCAGCCUCUCUCAGCCUAUUGCAGUCUGAGCACUGAUGGAGGGAUUGUGCGUUCCUGGUGUCACUCAGGCAUUUGUUGUUGCCAUCCUGUACCUGUCCCUCAGGUGUGAUGUUCGGAUGUACUGAUCCUGUGCAGGUGUUGUUACAUGUUGUCUGCCACUGCGAGGACGUUGUCUGCCUCAGCUGUCCGUCCUGUCUAUCUUUGUCGUCUCCCAGUACGGACUUUGCAUUUUAUUGCCCUGGCCACAUCUGCAGUCCUCAUGCCUCCUUGCAGCAUAACUAAGACACAUUCACGCAGAUGAGCAGGAACCCUGGGCCCCUUUCUUUUGGUGUUUUUCAGAGUCAGUAGAAAGGCCUCUUUAGUGUCCUAAGUUUUCAUAACUGUGACCUUAAUUGCUGUUAGUGUCUUAACGACCGUUCCACAGGUCGCUGGACCAGACAGGACAUUCAUUAAUUGUUUAUGGUUCAUUGAACAAGCAUGGGAAACAGUGUUUAAACCCUUUACAAUGAAGAUCUGUGAAGUUAUUUGGAUUUUUAUGAAUUAUCUUUGAAAGACAGGGUCCUGAAAAGGGGACAUUUAUUUUUUUGCUGAGUUUAUGUUAUAGCAAUCUGGUGUCAGACGGCACAGUCGAUGACAGCGCUCACAAUCAUUACAGGGGAGGGAAUGCUUUCCCAUUUUUUAUUUUAUUUGGGGUGCUUUCAAGACAACUGGGAAGUCAAGAAGAAACUAGGUCAAUUCAUGAGGUCGGAAAGUCGUUCGAGAAACAGUUCUAGAAACAUGACAGUGUUUCGGACAUUCAAAACCAUUUUCUCAGUCUGAGCUUUUAUUUUAGAGUUCCCAGUUGUCUUGAAUAGUCUUAAGUCAGAGAUUUCCAAGUUCCCAGUUGGCAUACGACCUAGUCUAACCCUACCUCAUUGGUGUCAGGUGAUGGAGACUGGAGGAGAAAAAUGGGUUCAUUUUGGACCAUUCUUUGGACAAAACACUUCAUUAGAGAUUUUAGAUUUCAUUAGAAUAUAUCCCUCCAUUUAUACUUGGGUGCAUUUGUAAAUUCACUCUUGCAAUUUGCAAAAAAAAAAACAUUUCUGACACCUUUCCCUGUUGGUGAAUUGUGCAGAACCUACAUCCAUUUACAGAUGCCAAUUACCAUUAGUGCCUAUUAAUGAAAGUGUCUUCUUCUUGGGGACUUUUGCUAAGAGCCCCUACGCUUGCUCUAAACAUUGACAAGCUUCACUUGCGGAAUGGUUUUGGAAACAUAAAGAACUCAUCUUUCAUAUCAGCAAUAAAUCAUUUUCAACCGAAAGAAGUUUAAAUGACUAAACACCUUAAUUAAUAGGGUUAGUGUUCCCACAAGACCUUAUCUGAAAUGUUACAGGGCUUGUUUACGGAAGACAGACGACCAGCUGGGAUAAUUAGCUAUCUGUGGAAAGAACUGAAAACUGCUGUUCACAAAUGCUCUCCAUCCAACCUCACUGAGCUCGAGCUGUUUUGCAAGGAGGAAUGGGAAAAAAUGUCAGUCUCUCAAUGUGCAAAACUGAUACAGACAUACCCCAAGCGACUUACAGCUGUAAUCGCAGCAAAAGGUAGCGCUACAAAGUAUGAACUUAAGGGGGCUGAAUAAUUUUGCACGCCCAAUUUUUCAGUUUUUGAUUUAAAAAAAAAGUUUUAAAUAUCCAAUAAAUGUCGUUCCACUUCAUGAUUGUGUCCCACUUGUUGUUGAUUCUUCACAAAAAAAUACAGUUUUAUAUCUUUAUGUUUGAAGCCUGAAAUGUGGCAAAAGGUCGCAAAGUUCAAGGGGGCCGAGUACUUUCGCAAGGCACUGUAUAGGGAAUAGGGGUGCCAUUUUGGACAAAUGUGUUUAUCAAUUAUGACAUAACAUGUGGAAUGGUUACAGAUGAAACGGUUGAGCCGAUGUGCGCUAAUGUGAUUAGCAUUAUGUUGUAAGUAACAGCAAACUUUCCAGGACAUAGACAUGUCUUGUAUGGGCAGAAAGCUUAAAUUCUUGUUAAUCUAACUGCACUCUCCAGUUUACAGUAGCUGUCACAGUGAAACAAAUACAAUGCUAUUGUUUGAGGAGAGUGCAC